Molecule: long non-coding RNA, 337 nt
Organism: Cucurbita moschata (crookneck pumpkin)
Lineage: Eukaryota; Viridiplantae; Streptophyta; Magnoliopsida; Cucurbitales; Cucurbitaceae
Exons: 2
Source: RefSeq, a predicted model, not a curated record
GAAGAAGAAGAAGAAGAAGAAGAAGAAGAAGAAGAAGAAGAAGAAGAAGAAAACACUGACAUCCUACGAGUUGAUGUGUCUGGUACAUUGAUCGUGAAAGUAUAACUAAACAGUCAGAGAAAAGGUGGAAUGUACAGAAGAAACAUGGAGGAGCAAUCAGAGAUUGAUGUGACUUCCGGAUUAUAUGUUUUGUUCGGACCAGGUAAAAGCAUUUAUUACUUCUACUGCUGUGCUAUUUCCUUCGUAGUUAGGGAUUCCUUCUGAUGACUACAUCCUAUGCAUCUUAAUAAUUCACAUACAUCAACCAUACAAAAUAACAAGAGCUGUCAAACUGUAA